CCUAGUAGGUGUUCAGUAAGUG
RNAcentral lists this microRNA (22 nucleotides) under Canis lupus familiaris (dog). RNAcentral's name for it is "Cfa-Mir-325_5p* (star (passenger))". RNAcentral also lists the same sequence under 3 other names. The record is from RNAcentral. Lineage: Eukaryota; Metazoa; Chordata; Mammalia; Carnivora; Canidae.